Molecule: microRNA precursor, 58 nt
Filed under: Oreochromis niloticus (Nile tilapia)
Lineage: Eukaryota; Metazoa; Chordata; Actinopteri; Cichliformes; Cichlidae
Description: microRNA oni-mir-10745 precursor
Source: miRBase by way of RNAcentral
UUUUCAGUUUCCCUCUCUCAGGCAAUUAUCAAUCCUGAGAGAGAGAAGCUGAAAAGAG